AGUAAAUGACGUAGGGUACAGAGGUAAGAUGUUCUAUCUUUCAGACCUUUUGUUUCACGUUAUUGGAUUUAGCUGAUUCAGCAGCCCCGGUCGACGAAUGUCGACCGGGGCAUUUUUUA
Molecule: non-coding RNA, 119 nt
Organism: Enterovibrio nigricans DSM 22720
Lineage: Bacteria; Pseudomonadati; Pseudomonadota; Gammaproteobacteria; Vibrionales; Vibrionaceae
Source: Rfam